GUGAAUGCACCAAUUUGUAAGUCGCUCUGGAUACAUCAAAUACUUGAUGUAUUUUUAUUUUCUAUUUUACCUUUAUUUAACUAGGCAAAUCAGUUAAGAACAAAUUCUUAUUUUCAAUGACGGCCUAGGAACAGUGGGUUAACUGCCUUGUUCAGGUAUUAUCCUCACGACCCAAUAACAAUGGUUUGCCAAUAAUGUUUUCUUCAGUUUCAGGUGGUGGAAUUACAGGUAAGUCUAAAGCAGUAUCACUGUCCCUCAAUUAGGGUUGCAAAGCGAGGGUAUAUUACUGGACAUUUUGAAGUUUACAGGUAAACUACAAGAAUUUGGGUAACUUUCAAGGAUUUUAUAUAAUUUAUCACAAGACAUCUAGUGGCCCUUCCGGGUACUUCAGAUGAUCAUAGGUGUCAGUAAUUAUCUCUGGCCCUCUGUGCCCUUAAAACAUUUUAAAUAAUCAAAUAAGAUUAACAUUAUCCUAAAUAUAAACCAUUAACUUAAUGAAUACCAUUGGUGUUUAAUAUGUUCAGCAUGAAUAUCCUUUAUAUAUUUUUUUACACACUUAUUUUUGUUACUAGGUGAAUGUCCUUUUUGUAAAUGUUUUGGCGCCAAACUGUUGGCAGCUGUGAAAAAAGACAGUUGUUGGGACAGUUGCAGAGUUAAUUGAAAAUAAUACCAUUGCUGAUUAGAUACUUUUUUUUAGGCUAUUUUGUCUUGAAACAUAUGCUCUCUCUCUCUCUAGCUCCUUCUCUUUCUCUCUCUCUCUCUAUAUAUAUAUAUAUAGUAUUCAUUAUUGGCGAGAUUCCCAAAGGCUGGAGCGUCGGCCUUCUCGCCCACUCCAAUUUCGCUCCAGUAGUGCUAACUUAAUGAGCUCAGGGCAUGCCCGGCCCAGCAUGCAUUUGAUGUCUACUUGUGUGCUGCUAUAGCCCCUUGCUUUAGUUACUGUCAUGGUGUUCGCUAACUAUUUUCAUAAAGAAACUAAUAAAACACAGGUGCUAAAUCAAGAAAAGCUGUCAUCAAGGCAAUGGGUGGCUACUUUGAAGAAUCUAAAAAAUAAAAUAUAUUUUGAUUUGUUUAACACUUUUUUGGUUACUACAUGAUUCCAUAUGUGUUAUUUCAUAGUGUGGAUGUCUUCACUAUUAUUCUACAGAACAUAGGAAAAAAAUUGGAAAAAACAUUGAAUGAGUAGGUGUGUCCAAACUGUUGACUGGUAUUCAUUAUUAGACCUGUGUCCAUAUUUUCUAUGAAUUUCUAGUGGAUGUUUUAAGAGAACAAUGCCUAUUUAAUGAAAAGAGCAUCUAACCAACAAUGGCAUUAUUUUCAUUUGUAAUAAGGAAUACUAUAUAUCAAUACAAUUUCUGAAAGUUAUUCAAGUAUAAAUCAUCAAAGUUACCAUAGAUUGCCAUAAAUUACCUAUUAAUUACCCAAAUUACUGAAUAUUCUGGUAACUUUGCUAAAUGACUAUUAGCUUUGCAACCCUACCCUCAAUGCACUUAUUUGUCCACUACCUGAAAAUGAACAGGAUGGUAUAAUGAUCAAAAUUACAAUGUUUCCAGGUCAGGAAGAAGACAAGAACAAUAGGAAUGCGGGUCAAGAUGCCAGUCGGUCCUCUACUAUCACCAUCUGUAUAUAAAUGAACUCACACUGACACAAAUUUACCUUGCACUGAAAAACACACACAGUCAGCAAAACAAACAGAACAUUUUAAAUAGACACAUUAUCCAGAUGGCAAGUUCCAAAUUAUGGAACUAGCAUCUCCUUCUCGUGGUUAUUGAAAGUUCAUAGACGUUAUCAUAGAAUUUACUACAUAAAACACACUACAGAGUAUAUUGAGUUUUACAGUAUGUUAUUUCUCUACUCAGGUGGUCACCAUGCUGGAGAUGAAGAACCGGAAACUCCUAAAUCAAAUAAGAAGAUGCUGUGGAUUCUUUUGCCAGUCUUGGGAGUUGUGGUGGCUGCUGUCAUCUUCAUUUUCAAAUUUAAAUGCAUGAAGGUCCACGAUCACACAGAGGCAAUUGAUAAUGGAACAGAAAAUGCCUCUUUCCAGAGCAGGUCGGACAGCACCAAAGAUGGUGUCAUGCUUCUCGGGGUGAAGUCCUCAGGUGCUGCUGCACGAUAAAAAGGAGGGCGUCCCAUUCUACAGUAUAUGACCAAUAGCUCUCACAACCCAAAAAAUGGUCAAGACCUUCAACUAUCUAAAAAUGCUGGACAAUCAAAUAUGGCGUAUAAGAAUCCCAAAAGCUAAGUGGGCACAUUCUUAUACUGUAUAGUGUGGAAAGAAGAUUGGUGUGGAGUAUUGUAGGAUAUGGGACUCUUAACUGAACAUGUGUCUGUUAAAAAAUGUUCACUAAGAUACUGUAUAUCAUUUCAAAAAUAUGUACUUCACUGUUUUUUGUAUUCUUAUUUUGAUGGUAAUUUAGCCAAGGAGGAACUGCGAUCUCAAUUUAAUCAAGACUAACAUCCAGACAUUUCAUUCAGGAAAACAAUGCAAGAUUUUGAAUGAAUAUAAAUAAAUUAACCCAAAAGCUCAUUGUCUGGGUGCAAGAGGAUUGUUUGUCUCAUCCCUGUAUUUAAGAUACUGGUUUUGAUUUUAUAUCACACAAACAUGUAUGAAAUCCAAAUGCAUUGAACCUGAAUUCAGCACACAAUUCCUUGGUUCAAACCAGUUAGUGACCAGUACACAUUAUUAAGUGUUUGUAUGCUUUAAAUCUGUUGUAAUAAAUGAUUUAGCUUUCAGUGUAAAUGCCAGGAUUGUAAAGAUUAGCUAUAUUGCCGGUAUGUUUCCUGCUUUUCAACCAGUUUUUGUGUAUAUUAGAGCAAACAAUAAGACUUCCCACUGGUCAAAGAUGAUUUGAAUUUCUCAAAUAAAGAAGAACGUUAUUUGACUGAUCGGCAUUGGUUGAAUAUUUGUUGUUUUGCACCUGUACAUGCUCACGAAAGUUUAUGUUGAUUUUGGAUGUUGAUUUCACCUGGCUACACACCAUAUCUUUAAUGUGCUGAAUUAUGUAACGCAACCAUACAAAAGGCUAUGGAGAAUAAACUAUUCAGUAUAGGAGAGCUGUAGCUCCGCCCACCGGUUAUGUGGAGUAGAGCAUGCUGGGCGAUCUCCAAGUGAUUAGUUCAAGCCAUCUAUUGUUUUUUCCUUUAGUUAGCAUUAUUUGUUUUACCAAGGCCAGUGUGUGUCCUUCAGAAAUAUGAGUACAUAUUUCUUACUCUUCAUGUGUUAAUGUUGUG
RNAcentral lists this long non-coding RNA (3228 nucleotides) under Salmo salar (Atlantic salmon). Its description in RNAcentral is "lncRNA (ENSSSAG00000087584.1)". Lineage: Eukaryota; Metazoa; Chordata; Actinopteri; Salmoniformes; Salmonidae. The record is from RNAcentral.